GUCAGCAAAGAAAAUAGUGCAUAGCCCUGGGCUUCAUAUCGUGCAUUUGACCACGAUCAUAUUUGGUGUGAGGCCAGGAGGAAAAAAGAUAUUUGGCAGAUUUGUCUGAAUGGCUCUCAGGGAGGAUUCUUACCAGAAAAAGACUCUGUCAAGUUCCUGGUAAUCUGAUUUGUUGAACUAUGGAAUCCUUUUACCAAAAGAAGAGUGGUGACAACUAGUCUCAUCUGGUAUUCUCCAAGUUCCCAGUAAGUACUAUCAGUAUUAUUCAGGUGUGCAUAAAAUUACUUUG
RNAcentral lists this long non-coding RNA (289 nucleotides) under Anser cygnoides (Swan goose). Its description in RNAcentral is "lncRNA (ENSACDG00005001556.1)". The record is from RNAcentral. Lineage: Eukaryota; Metazoa; Chordata; Aves; Anseriformes; Anatidae.